This 517-nucleotide ribosomal RNA is filed under the name uncultured bacterium. RNAcentral's name for it is "bacterial SSU rRNA". It matches the Rfam family "Bacterial small subunit ribosomal RNA", at positions 992 to 1509 of the family's 1533-position model. The record is from RNAcentral.
AGAACUUAGCAGAGAUGCUUUGGUGCCUUCGGGAACUCUGAGACAGGUGCUGCAUGGCUGUCGUCAGCUCGUGUUGUGAAAUGUUGGGUUAAGUCCCGCAACGAGCGCAACCCUUAUCCUUUGUUGCCAGCGGUCCGGCCGGGAACUCAAAGGAGACUGCCAGUGAUAAACUGGAGGAAGGUGGGGAUGACGUCAAGUCAUCAUGGCCCUUACGAGUAGGGCUACACACGUGCUACAAUGGCGCAUACAAAGAGAAGCGACCUCGCGAGAGCAAGCGGACCUCAUAAAGUGCGUCGUAGUCCGGAUUGGAGUCUGCAACUCGACUCCAUGAAGUCGGAAUCGCUAGUAAUCGUGGAUCAGAAUGCCACGGUGAAUACGUUCCCGGGCCUUGUACACACCGCCCGUCACACCAUGGGAGUGGGUUGCAAAAGAAGUAGGUAGCUUAACCUUCGGGAGGACGCUUACCACUUUGUGAUUCAUGACUGGGGUGAAGUCGUAACAAGGUAAGCGUAGUGCU